UUCAUUUGAUUUAAGAAUGUUGAAUUAAUUGACUUAUAUGAUUAAAAAUUAAAUUAUAUAGGUUGUAGUAAAGACAAUAUAAGCACUGCCACUGAUGGAUUGAGUCAAGUGUUGGCAUCCAGGGCACUAGGUAUUCAAUUUUAUAUAUAAUAGUCACUAUUAGUUGCCACCACAUGUAUAACUCAUUGGAAUACUUUGUGGUUGUUGAAGGUACUGUAAAUGCUUGGGAAGUUAAACAAUCAACUUCCUAUUCAGAGGAUAAGGAAAAUCAUAAUAACAAUAAUGUGGUUGACCAGAUAGAUAUAAAUCAAGAAGAAAGUACUCAUUGUCGUCAAAACCAGGUUAAGAGUAAUGUUUCUGGAACAAUUUCGUCAGCAAGCCAAUCGACACUAAGCCCACUAUCAAAAGGUAACGCUACAGUAAUAAAACUCACAUAUAUUUAAUAGAUAGCUAUCCCUAUAAACUGAUAUCAAAAUUAAAGAGAUUUAUACAGAGUCAGCAAGGCACGCGAGACUUGAAAGAGCACUCAAGUUACUUAAGAAGAAAAAGGAAACUAUAGUAUCACAGAACCAAAAAGGAACCAUUUCAGCGAUCACAUUCACCACACAAAUCACCAAUGUUACAUCAAUGGAAGGUAUCAAAAGAUUUUGGAUUAAUUACAUAGUUAACUCGAAUGAAAGUUGUUACAUGUUAUAUGGAUAAAUAAGAGUGGAGCUGCUAAUAAUCAGGAUAUUAUUAAGCAUAUUCAAGUUGAUAAAGGUAUAAUGUUACAAUUCAUUAUGGUUCUUAAGAUAAGUAAUAAAAACGGUAUCCUAAAAUGAACUUUUUUGUGUGUACUUAUUGAUAAUCCUCCAAAUAGAUUUAACAAGAUUGGCUAGAAGGUAUCGAAGGCAAAUAAUGGACACAAGAAGGACCCCUGAAAUCUCAAACCAUGGCCAAGGUGCGGUGUAUUUUGUGUAUGUAGUGUGUUUUUUUAGUUUAGAGGAUUAAUAAGAAUUUAUA
This is a non-coding RNA of Arachis ipaensis, 1002 nucleotides long. Lineage: Eukaryota; Viridiplantae; Streptophyta; Magnoliopsida; Fabales; Fabaceae. The record is from RefSeq and is a predicted model, not a curated record.